AGAAGGAGCUAGCCGCCCUGAGGAAGUCCCCUCCUGUCGGUAUCCAGGUGUCGCUACCUUCAGACGACCUGCACGUGUGGGAGGCUGUCAUUCCGGGGCCACAGGACUCCCUGUAUAAAGGAGGGAAGUUCAAGAUUCAGAUACUUCUUCCCGAAAACUACCCCCUUGGGCCUCCAAUCGUGCGCUUCAUCACGCCGAUCUACCACCUGAACGUGA
Branchiostoma belcheri (Belcher's lancelet) is the source of this 216-nucleotide long non-coding RNA. RefSeq lists it as uncharacterized. The record is from RefSeq and is a predicted model, not a curated record. The transcript is spliced from 4 exons. NCBI's taxonomy places the organism in Eukaryota, Metazoa, Chordata, Leptocardii, Amphioxiformes, Branchiostomatidae.